UACGAAGGGGGCUAGCGUUGCUCGGAAUCACUGGGCGUAAAGGGCUCGUAGGCGGCCAACUAAGUCGGACGUGAAAUCCCCAGGCUCAACCUGGGAACUGCGUCCGAUACUGGAUGGCUUGAAUCCGGGAGAGGGAUGCAGAAUUCCAGGUGUAGCGGUGAAAUGCGCAGAUAUCGGGAGGAACACCAGUAGCGAAGGCGGCUCGCUGGGCCAUUCCUGACGCUGAGACGCGAAAGCUAGGGAGGCGAACAGG
This 253-nucleotide ribosomal RNA is filed under the name uncultured bacterium. RNAcentral describes it as "partial 16S ribosomal RNA". It matches the Rfam family "Bacterial small subunit ribosomal RNA", at positions 524 to 776 of the family's 1533-position model. The record is from RNAcentral.